GAUGAACGCUAGCGGCAGGCUUAACACAUGCAAGUCGAGGGGCAGCAUUGUGAGUAGCAAUACUUACAGAUGGCGACCGGCGCAAGGGUGCGUAACGCGUGAGCAACAUGCCCGUAACAGGGGGAUAAUCCAGGGAAACUUGGUCUAAUACCGCAUAAUAUCAAUUAGAGGCAUCUUUGAUUGAUUAAAAUUCGAUGGUUACGGAUUGGCUCGCGUGACAUUAGCUAGAUGGAGAGGUAACGGCUCACCAUGGCGACGAUGUCUAGGGAACUGAGAGGUUUAUCCCCANACUGGUACUGAGACACGGACCAGACUCC
This 317-nucleotide ribosomal RNA is filed under the name uncultured bacterium. RNAcentral describes it as "bacterial SSU rRNA". It matches the Rfam family "Bacterial small subunit ribosomal RNA", at positions 28 to 339 of the family's 1533-position model. The record is from RNAcentral.